UACAGAGGUCCCGAGCGUUGUUCGGAUUCACUGGGCGUAAAGGGUGCGUAGGUGGUGAGGGAAGUCGGAUGUGAAAUCUCCAAGCUCAACUUGGAAACUGCAUUGGAAACUACCUUGCUAGAGGAUUUGAGGGGGGAUUGGAAUACUUGGUGUAGCAGUGAAAUGCGUAGAUAUCAAGUGGAACACCAGUGGCGAAGGCGAAUCCCUGGAAAAUACCUGACACUGAGGCACGAAAGCUAGGGGAGCAAACAGG
RNAcentral lists this ribosomal RNA (253 nucleotides) under uncultured bacterium. RNAcentral describes it as "partial 16S ribosomal RNA". It matches the Rfam family "Bacterial small subunit ribosomal RNA", at positions 524 to 776 of the family's 1533-position model. The record is from RNAcentral.